UUUCCGUUGGUGAACCAGCGGAGGGAUCAUUAUCGAGUUUAUAACUCCCAAACCCUAUGUGAACUUACCACUUGUUGCUUCGGCGCGCGCUUCGGUGCCGCCGAGGACACUUAAACUCUUUGUUUUUAUAAGCAUUUCUGAGUGGCCGAAAGGCAAAAUACAAAUGAAUCAAAACUUUCAACAACGGAUCUCUUGGUUCUG
RNAcentral lists this unclassified non-coding RNA (201 nucleotides) under plant metagenome. RNAcentral describes it as "partial contains small subunit ribosomal RNA, internal transcribed spacer 1, and 5.8S ribosomal RNA". The record is from RNAcentral.